This 1475-nucleotide ribosomal RNA is filed under the name metagenome. Its description in RNAcentral is "bacterial SSU rRNA". It matches the Rfam family "Bacterial small subunit ribosomal RNA". The record is from RNAcentral.
AGAGUUUGAUCCUGGCUCAGAAUGAACGCUGGCGGCAUGGAUUAGGCAUGCAAGUCGAGCGGUAAGGCCCCUUCGGGGGUACACGAGCGGCGAAAGGGUGAGUAACGCGUGAGUAAUCUGCCUCGAAGCCGGGGACAGCCCCCCGAAAGGGGGAUUAAUACCGGAUGUGGCGAGGGGCCCUCGGGCCCUGCAGCUAAAGACUUGUCACUUCGAGAUGAGCUCGCGUCCUAUCAGCUUGUUGGUAGGGUAACGGCCUACCAAGGCUUCGACAGGUAGCUGGUCUGAGAGGAUGGUCAGCCACACUGGGACUGAGACACUGCCCAGACUCCUACGGGAGGCUGCAGUCGAGAAUCUUCCGCAAUGCGCGCAAGCGUGACGGAGCAAUGCCGCGUGCGGGAUGACGGCCUUCGGGUUGUAAACCGCUGUCUCUCGGGACGAAGCAAGUGACGGUACCGAGAGAGGAAGCCACGGCUAACUACGUGCCAGCAGCCGCGGUAAGACGUAGGUGGCGAGCGUUAUUCGGAUUUAUUGGGCGUAAAGGGUCCGCAGGGGGCCGGUUAAGUUUGGUGUGAAAGCCCCUGGCUCAACCAGGGAACGGCACUGGAUACUGGCCGGCUAGAGGACUGGAGAGGAAAGCAGAAUUCCUGGUGUAGCGGUGGAAUGCGUAGAUAUCAGGAGGAACGCCGAAAGCGAAGGCAGCUUUCUGGACAGUACCUGACCCUCAUGGACGAAAGCCGGGGGAGCAAACAGGAUUAGAUACCCUGGUAGUCCCGGCCGUAAACGUUGUAGACUCGGUGUAGGGGGAUUUGGUCCCCUCUGUGCCUUAGCUAACGCGUUAAGUCUACCGCCUGGGGAGUACGGCGGCAACGCUAAAACUCAAAGGAAUUGACGGGGGCCCGCACAAGCGGUGGAGCAUGUGGCUUAAUUCGAGACGACGCGAAGAACCUUACCUGGGUUUGACAUAUGGCUGACCGCCGGUGAAAGCCGGUUCCUCUUUGAGGCUGCCAUACAGAUGCUGCAUGGCUGUCGUCAGCUCGUGUCGUGAGAUGUUCGGUUAAGUCCGGCAACGAGCGCAACCCAUGUCACCAGUUGCCAGCGGGUCAUGCCGGGGACUCUGGUGAGACUGCCCGUGCUAAGCGGGAGGAAGGCGUGGACGACGUCAAGUCCGUAUGGCUCUUACAUCCAGGGCUGCACACGUGCUACAAUGGCCGGUACAGUGGGCUGCGACGCUGCGAGGCGGAGCCAAUCCCCAAAACCGGUCCCAGUUCGGAUUGGAGUCUGCAAUUCGACUCCAUGAAGCCGGAAUCGCUAGUAAAGGCGUAUCAGCAACGGCGCCUUGAAUACGUUCCCGGGCCUUGUACACACCGCCCGUCACAUCAUGGAAGCUGGCUGUCCCCGAAGUCGCUGACCUAACCCGCAAGGGGUGGAGGCGCCGAAGGAAUGUCCAGUGACUGGGAUGAAGUCGGAACAAGGUA